This 996-nucleotide long non-coding RNA is filed under the name Lactuca sativa (garden lettuce). RNAcentral describes it as "long non-coding RNA (LSAT_LNC006215)". Lineage: Eukaryota; Viridiplantae; Streptophyta; Magnoliopsida; Asterales; Asteraceae. The record is from RNAcentral.
CUGAGUUAGUUGAAGAUAGAGGUUUUCUUGAUGCCCUAAAAGAUCUCAUAUCUGACAAUAACCCUAUGGUAGUAGCAAAUGCUGUUGCAGCUCUUGCUGAAAUUCAAGAUAACAGCAGUACACCCAUUUUUGAGAUCACUAGCCAGACCUUGUCAAAGCUCCUUACAGCUCUAAACGAAUGCACUGAGUGAGUAUGCUAUUAAAGUCAUUUACUNUUGCAGCUAUGACAGUUGGGAAGGAUGUAUCAUCACUUUUCACAGAUGUCUUGAACUGUAUGCAGACUGAAAAUUUGGAGCUCAAAAAGCUUGUUUACUUGUAUCUCAUCAAUUAUGCUAAAAGUCAACCCGACCUAGCAAUACUUGCAGUUAAUACCUUCGUGAAGGUAUAAACUAGUAUAAACUCACUUUUCACAUCCACAUAAUUGUUCCCCAUUAAAGACACUGAUUUUGUUUUUUUACAUGUAACAGGAUACACAAGACCCAAAUCCUUUAAUCCGGGCUUUAGCUGUUCGAACAAUGGGAUGCAUCCGAGUUGAUAAAAUCACAGAAUAUCUUUGUGACCCCCUCCAGAGGUGUCUCAAGGUUAACAUCGCCUUUAUUUCAUGUUUUGAUCUUCAGUAAUCAAUCAACUACAAAUAUAUUAAGAUGAUUUAAAAUUGUCUUCAACAGGAUGACGACCCAUAUGUUCGAAAAACAGCAGCUAUAUGUGUUGCUAAACUUUAUGACAUCAAUGCUGAGUUAGUUGAAGAUAGAGGUUUUCUUGAUGCCCUAAAAGAUCUCAUAUCUGACAAUAACCCUAUGGUAGUAGCAAAUGCUGUUGCAGCUCUUGCUGAAAUUCAAGAUAACAGCAGUACACCCAUUUUUGAGAUCACUAGCCAGACCUUGUCAAAGCUCCUUACAGCUCUAAACGAAUGCACUGAGUGAGUAUGCUAUUAAAGUCAUUUACUAUUUAUCUACUAAUUUGUGGUAUUAAAGUCAAUUUUGACAUUAUUCAGGU